GAUAUUGCGCAAUGGACGAAAGUCAGACGCAGCGACGCCGCGUGGGCGAUGAAGGCCUUCGGGUUGUAAAGCCCUUUUAUUGGGGGAAGAGAAAAAGGGCGGUACCCCAGGAAUAAGUCCCGGCUAACUACGUGCCAGCAGCCGCGGUAAAACGUAGGGGACAAGCGUUAUCCGGAUUCACUGGGCGUAAAGAGCGUUGAGGCGGUUCCGUAAGUUGGGCGUGAAAGCUCCGGGCUUAACUCGGAGAUGUCGUUCAAUACUGCGGGGCUUGAGGACAGCAGAGGAAGGUGGAAUUCCCGGUGUAGUGGUGAAAUGCGUAGAUAUCGGGAGGAACACCCGUGGCGAAGGCGGCCUUCUGGGCUGUUCCUGACGCUGAAGGCGAAAGCUAGGGGAGCGAACGGGAUUAGAUACCCCGGUAGUCCUAGCUGUAAACGAUGGAUGCUGGGUGUGGGGGGUGUAAAUUCCCUCUGUGCCGAAGCAAACGCGUUAAGCAUCCCGCCUGGGGACUACGGCCGCAAGGCUAAAACUCAAACGAAUUGACGGGGGCCCGCACAAGCAGCGGAGCGUGUGGUUUAAUUCGAUGCUACACGAAGAACCUUACCUGGGUUUGACAUGCACGUGGUAGGGAACCGAAAGGGGACCGACCUUCGGGAGCGUGCACAGGUGCUGCAUGGCUGUCGUCAGCUCGUGCCGUGAGGUGUCGGGUUAAGUCCCGUAACGAGCGCACCCUUGCUCUUAGUUAUACGUGUCUAAGGGGACUGCCGGCGACAAGCCGGAGGAAGGUGGGGAUGACGUCAAGUCAGCAUGGCCUUGAUAUCCAGGGCUACACACACGCUACAAUGGCCGGUACAAAGGGCAGCCAAGCCGCGAGGUGGAGCGAAUCCCAGCAAAGCCGGUCCCAGUUCGGAUUGCAGGCUGCAACCCGCCUGCAUGAAGUUGGAGUUGCUAGUAACCGCGCGUCAGCCAU
This 967-nucleotide ribosomal RNA is filed under the name uncultured Chloroflexota bacterium. RNAcentral's name for it is "bacterial SSU rRNA". It matches the Rfam family "Bacterial small subunit ribosomal RNA", at positions 359 to 1355 of the family's 1533-position model. Lineage: Bacteria; Bacillati; Chloroflexota. The record is from RNAcentral.